This 292-nucleotide ribosomal RNA is filed under the name uncultured bacterium. RNAcentral describes it as "partial 16S ribosomal RNA". The record is from RNAcentral.
GGACUACCGGGGUUUCUAAUCCUGUUUGAUCCCCACGCUUUCGCGCCUCAGCGUCAGUUGUCGUCCAGAUAGCCGCCUUCGCCACCGGUGUUCCUGCUAAUAUCUACGAAUUUCACCUCUACAUUAGCAAUUCCGCUAUCCCCUCCGACACUCAAGCCUGUCAGUUUCAAAGGCAAUUCUGGAGUUGAGCUCCAGGCUUUCACCCCUGACUUGACAAGCCGCCUACGCGCGCUUUACGCCCAGUAAUUCCGAACAACGCUAGCACCCUUCGUAUUACCGCGGCUGCUGGCAC